GCUUUUGUGAUGUAAUGGUCAGCACACUCGGCGCGUAUUCGAAAGGUCCGAGGUUCGAGUCCUGGCGAGGGCA
Molecule: transfer RNA, 73 nt
Filed under: Stegodyphus mimosarum
Lineage: Eukaryota; Metazoa; Arthropoda; Arachnida; Araneae; Eresidae
Rfam family: tRNA
About the family: Transfer RNA (tRNA) molecules are approximately 80 nucleotides in length.
Source: Rfam by way of RNAcentral